AGCGUAGACGGAGCAGCAAGUCUGAUGUGAAAGGCGGGGGCUCAACCCCUGGACUGCAUUGGAAACUGUUGAUCUUGAGUACCGGAGAGGUAAGCGGAAUUCCUAGUGUAGCGGUGAAAUGCGUAGAUAUUAGGAGGAACACCAGUGGCGAAGGCGGCUUACUGGACGGUAACUGACGUUGAGGCUCGAAGGCGUGGGGAGCAAACA
RNAcentral lists this ribosomal RNA (207 nucleotides) under uncultured bacterium. RNAcentral describes it as "partial 16S ribosomal RNA". It matches the Rfam family "Bacterial small subunit ribosomal RNA", at positions 568 to 774 of the family's 1533-position model. The record is from RNAcentral.